GGGUAAAAGAUCUGCUUUGUUCACAAGAAGCAAUGUCCUUUUGUGCUUAUCAACCUCUCGUGCAUAUACCUCAAGAUCAGGACAGCGGUAGAACAAGGGGUCUCGUGCAUCAACAACCAUUACAAGCAAAUCACUGCGCUCAACGACACGCCAAAGCUGUCUCCAAAUAUCUAAGUUCUUCUCAAAUGGUGUGAGCACAAGCUUCUCAUUCUCCUCAAGGCUUGCAAGGCUUCUACGCCAGAUCAAAAAGGCUCGUCUUUCAUUCGCAUCAAGCUCCUCCACAGACAUUCCAGCAUUCCACGGUGGCCUUCGAGGGAUUCGGAGACUGCUAGCAUGUAAUGCCUCCUCCUUCUUCUGCAGCUCCCUCCUUUGCUCCGGUGUCAUAUCACUGCUACUUGAGCUCGAGUCCAGGUCGAUGAGAAGAUUGGGAGUGGGAUGCUGGAGAGAGAAGAGACGGUCGGCCUCCUCGGCUUGCUCGAUGACGGCGUCGAUGUCGCUGACUUCAGUGACAGAUUCAAGAACUUUCUUGUGCAGGGCUUUGUAGAAACGGCCUUUUUCUUUGGAUUGUUGAAUCAUCUGGUUGUGGUGCUUCACCAAAGCUCUACCUAGUCCUGUCUUCUCGUUCUUCCCCAUCUUGCUUCGUAUUUCUUCAAUUACCUCUGUUUUGCAGCUAAGUUACUUGUGUUUAUCUCGCAGAAAGAGU
RNAcentral lists this unclassified non-coding RNA (703 nucleotides) under Hevea brasiliensis (rubber tree). Lineage: Eukaryota; Viridiplantae; Streptophyta; Magnoliopsida; Malpighiales; Euphorbiaceae. The record is from RNAcentral.